CCUCGGCUAAAGAUGCACCUUUACACGUCGCGGUGCUGUCACUGGCGGCGCUGAAAAACGUCCACUUGCAAUUCAUAUUAACCGGUGAUUGUGGCUUUUGGAAUAAGCCGACAGGUGAGGAUUUAUACAGAACACUGGCCACAGCUACUGGAGGCUCUGUAUACUUCACAAACAAGAACGGCAUCGCCACAGUUGUUGACAUAAUAAAGGAAUCGCUUACGCCUUCAGUCACUAUCGCCAAAUCAUCAAUAUCAGCAUCUGACGUGAAUGUCACAUUUCCCGUGGAUCAGACCAUUCUACAAGCAACAAUUAAGAUUGUAACUUUGGACAGAAAUACGCCCGUGUAUAUACUGUAUACAC
Haliotis rufescens (red abalone) is the source of this 360-nucleotide long non-coding RNA. RefSeq lists it as uncharacterized. The record is from RefSeq and is a predicted model, not a curated record. Lineage: Eukaryota; Metazoa; Mollusca; Gastropoda; Lepetellida; Haliotidae. The transcript has 3 exons.